GACUAACGCUGGCGGCGUGCCUAACACAUGCAAGUCGAACGAGUUGUUUAAGGUAGCAAUAUUUUGAGCAGCAAGUGGCGAACGGGUGAGUAACACGUAGAUAAUCUGCCUUUCAGACGGGGAUAACUCAGGGAAACUUGUGCUAAUACCCGAUGAGACUACGAGGGGGGACCUUCGCAGCCAAAGGUGGGCGAAAGCUCACGCUGGAAGAUGAGUCUGCGUCCUAUCAGCUAGUUGGUGGGGUAAAGCCUACCAAGGCGAAGACGGGUAGCCGGCCUGAGAGGGUGAACGGCCACACUGGGACUGAGACACGGCCCAGACUCCUACGGGAGGCAGCAGUGAGGAAUUUUCCGCAAUGGGCGCAAGCCUGACGGAGCGACGCCGCGUGAGGGAUGACGGCCUUCGGGUUGUAAACCUCUUUUAUUAAGGAAAAGGACAAUCGUGCUAACACCACGGUGUUUGUAUGGUACUUAUUGAAUAAGCCCCGGCUAACUACGUGCCAGCAGCCGCGGUAAACGUACG
Molecule: ribosomal RNA, 522 nt
Filed under: uncultured bacterium
Lineage: Bacteria
Description: bacterial SSU rRNA
Rfam family: Bacterial small subunit ribosomal RNA
Source: RNAcentral